RNAcentral lists this long non-coding RNA (2765 nucleotides) under Homo sapiens (human). Its description in RNAcentral is "SOX9 antisense RNA 1". Lineage: Eukaryota; Metazoa; Chordata; Mammalia; Primates; Hominidae. The record is from RNAcentral.
GGAUCGGUCCUGCAUUUCUGCAGGGGCCUCCUGGUGUCCACUCCCCUUUCCCCAUUCAGGGGCUCCAUUCGCUUCGUUGUGUCUUUCUCAGGUCGCCCCGACCCCUCCUCCCUGACCUGGGAAGACGCGCGCAGUCCCCGACCAGAGGACCUCAGACACAGUCUGGCCAUGGAGGCAUGGUAUCCGUAACAUCCCCCAAAGGAGCUAAAGAAGAAAUCCACAAUUUACCAUGAGCAUUUCUCGUCUGAAGAUUGCCAAGCGAUUCCUCCAGGACAUUCCUCAAGAUCAAUUUCUGUUCAUCCACCUUGUCCUGGGAGGGACAUCAAUGGGUUUCCAUGUCCUUUGGCUUCUGGUUGAGUUCACUCAGUGGAGAACCCUGGCAAGAGGCAGGAAAAGGGGAGGAAGCAGCCUGACCGGUUUGAAUUUCACCUUCUGUUCACCUUGGAUGAGAGCAGUAAUCAUCACGAUCCCAGGGAACAGCCAAAGGAAGAGAAAAGGCAAAAGAUUUGGACAAGACUCAUGAAGACUAACAGCUCUUGGAUAAUUGAGAGAAGGCAGCUGCGUGAACAGUUUUGAUGCAAUCAUGAAGGCAGGGCCCAGUGCCUGUGGCAUCUGCCUUUUUCUGGAACCAAUCCAUAUUUCCUUGUGGUUUUCUAAGGUGCAGAGAGGGCACAUUGGGAACUUUGCUUGGGGUCUUUUUCACAUCUUAGAGGGAAGGUCCCUCAACAUCUGCAUUGGCGGAGUGUGAUCCUCAUGUCCCUCUGAAUGAUCUGGACUUGAGGUAACCAGCCCCUUCCAGGAAGCUGUCCCAUGAGUGAAGCCUCAGCAGCAGCCUCUGUCAGUCCCUCCCCCACAGAACCUUUGGCUUCCAUUUGACCAGCCUUGACAUCCAGUGUCCAAACACCGAUAAAAUUGAUUCCACUAAGCGUGGGAAAGUCCUGGAGCAUCGAUUGUUUCCUCCUCUGCACCCCCGAUACCCUGGCAUUAGCACUCUCCCAGAAUGUACCUUGCUUGUUUGAUUGGAGGAGGUCAAAGCCCUGAUGAAGAAUGAGUGGAAUUCCACAGGAUUGGAGCAGUCUUGAUAAAUGACAGCAGGGGAUGGUGUGGGGAGGGGAAAGGAUCAGAGGAAGUGUGGAUAAAUGAAUGGCUUAAAAAAUAAUCCACCUUUGCCUCCCCCUUUUCUACCAGUCUGUCUAGUGCUUCAGGGUGAAAAAAAAAAAAAAAAGCUUGCCUUUCUAAACAUUUGGAGUUUCAGAAAUGAUCUAUAGAGCAUGUUUAGUUUUUCAAGUUAAAAAUAUUAAAAGAAAAAAAAUGUUUGAGGGCUUUACUGCUUUCCCGCAAAGAGCUAGAGCCACCCAAGCAGGAUUGACUGUCAUUGGUUUGAGGUUUCUGUUUGCUUUGAGGCUAUUUUUUCCUUAGUGCUAUAAACUAGAUCAGUCCAUUUUUAGCUGAUAACCCUUUCCAAUUUCGCUGUGAAAUGAGGGGCUGGUUGGGUGGUUUUUUUUUAUGUUCUUUCCAGCGUUGACUUUUAUGGUCUUUGAUUCCAAGGUACCUCGUCGACUCUGAAGACGAGAGAUGGGUAGGUUCUAACUCCAGAUGAGCCACUGCAAGAUGGUACCAGGAUGAGAUAGAGAGUCUCUGUACUAUCUUUUAUAUGUUCUCAAACCCAGCCAGGGAUCAGAGUGACAAUAUAACAUGGGGAAUCAUAGAGAUGUUUAUGGUAAUUCUGCUAUGAGUCAACUGAGAUGUCCCUUAUGGAGAUAACUUCCCAUACUAUAGGCAGUUGGACAAAGAUGUAAAUGCCUUGUUUACAAAUGCUACCCAGAUCUCCUAAUUAGGACCACACAUGCGGAGAACCCAACAGCUUUUGGACUUAUCGGCCAAUGGUCUUCUUGGGAAGGUCUCUCCUAGUCAUGGGAAUUGUCUUUUUAUUGUUCAAGCUUUUGCAUAGACCUGGAAGAGGCAUCCAUUGCUGUUACCCCUGAGUUUAUAAUCAUGCUGCAAGUCCAGUGGGGAACUUUGGCACAAAGCAUUGAAUGAGAUGGGACUGCACUUAUGUAGCCUGCAUUUCUUGAGAAUAAAGAUUUCUGUUCAUUUAGUGCAGUGGUUAUCAUCUGGGGGAAAACCAGUGAGUAGAGGCCAGGGAUGCCACUAAAAUCCCUACACUGUGCAGGAAAGCUGUCAGCCCUUUGUCCCACAAGAGAUUAACUGGUUCCAAAAGUCAGUAGUGCUGUGGUUGAGAAACCCUGUUUACCACCUGUAGGUUCCAGAGAGCUCGGAUGGUGGUGGUCAUUGUGCUAAGUUUCAAAUUCAGUAUUUAGGUUUGGUUUUUAGCUUAUAGGCAACAAAUUGGCUGACUAUGGGGUGAAAAGGAAGCACCUCCUUUAUCAAGAUUGGCUUCAAAAGAUGUCUGCCUCCCCUUCUGGUGGGUCCUGUGUCCAUUCACAGUGUGAGAAAUGGAAAGGAGGUCACUAAGAGACUUGCAAUGGAUGUAAUAACUGGAUGCAGAAACUCUGGAUCUGAAGGGAAUGUUCAUGACUAUUUCAUCCCUCCUGCUGCCUUGGAGAACCAAACGCAGGAGCCACCCAAGGUGAAAACCAUCCAUUUCUUGGAGAAGUGCCACGGUGGGGUUGCAAGUCCCAGGAUCAAGUUUUCGAUGUGUCUCUUUUUCCCGUAAAGUGGCUGAAAUCUGAAGCUGAAUCUGCAAGUGUCAUGGAGUCAUUGAAUCUCACAGUCUCAACUGAUAAAAGUUAUUAAAGGUCGUC